GAGACAGAAGAUGUGGAUCUUAGGGAAGAGUGGUGUGAACUUGGCAGAGAUGCUACAUGGCAUAAUCUGAACUCUUGUUUUUCAAAGGAGAGAGCUAUGUUUGGAAAAAGUAAAGCCUUGCCAAGAAGCACACAUGUAAUAAGUGGCAAAACUGAAACCAAUCUUUUUUUUUUUUUUUAAUUUGGGGCAGCGGGGAGUAUUGCAUGUGGACCCACAGCUGGCCUGCGAGUGGCAAGUAGAAAUUUGUUUCUUAGCCAGUGGCGGGCUGGAGCUUCUGGUACCAGUUCCAGAGGGAGGAGUGUUAAACAUUCGGGAUUUUGGCAGGCAGGUUAACCGUGGUAGCUGGAAAUGUGCCAGAGUCAGAGUAUGUACUAAGGUUACAAACCAACCCUCCUUUUUUUUCUUUCCAAAGAGCCAGUUUACCAGCACACCCUUGCCUAGUUCCCUGUGGGGAUCAUUUACAGUCAGGGCAGACGCCAUGUUUCAGAUGAGAAACAACCUCAGUUUGCGGUGUUUUUCAACAGUUGCCAUUUCCAACCCACCGUCAGCAGAUUGCCCAGGGGCUGCCAGCUAGACCUCAUUUUGCACAUCCAACCCCUCAAACCCACCUCCUGCAAUGGCUGGCACUCUCUCUCUCUGGGACUCAUGCACAAAAUGAGCCUACUAUCUCUAUCUUCUGCUGCCCUUGUUUCCAGCUCAGAAUCAGCUCCUUCCUAACUUUUGAACAGUAGAACAUCAGUACUAUAAGAAUAAGACAAGUCUUGGCAAGUGCGUGUAAGAUCAAGAGCAGUAUCUUUAAGAGACUUGCUUUAAAAAAAAAAAAAGAAGAAGACUGUUAAGGCAGCCAAUAAGCAAAUGCCCCCAGGGAUAGUGACUCUAAUUAUUUAAAGUAGGAAACUCUUGUGCAAAUUGCCCAAGUCAUCUCAUUUCAGGCUUCCGUUGUGUGGCUUGGCGGCUUGCUGCUUCAUUCCCAUCAGAGGGCAAAGGCUGAAAGAGAAAGAAAUCUCCGUGACUGAAAGGGAGAGGGACAGGAGACUGGAGAAUUGAUCCUGCCUAUGUGAUGAAGCCUCCUGAACAAUCCCAGAAUUAUGGGCUUCAGAGAACUUCCCAGUCAGGAAGUGCCUGCAGUGGUUUGCCCCUUCCUACGCAGCUUGCCCCAGGUAUCUCUUCAUCUGGCUGUUCACCUGGAUCCUUCAUUAUGUCCUUUAUAAUAAACUGGUAAA
This is a long non-coding RNA of Bos taurus (domestic cattle), 1223 nucleotides long. NCBI's taxonomy places the organism in Eukaryota, Metazoa, Chordata, Mammalia, Artiodactyla, Bovidae. The record is from Ensembl.